Molecule: ribosomal RNA, 771 nt
Filed under: Triticum aestivum (bread wheat)
Lineage: Eukaryota; Viridiplantae; Streptophyta; Magnoliopsida; Poales; Poaceae
Description: partial small subunit ribosomal RNA
Source: RNAcentral
AUGGGAUUCCGUGAUAUCCACCGUUUCAAUCUGGCUUUACUCGCUAAGCAGGCAUGGCGUCUACUUGAUAACCCUGACUCCUUGUGUGCCACUAUUCUAAGAGCAAAGUACUAUCCUGAUGGCGAUUUGCUGAAUUCCAAGCCAAAGCAUGGAGCUUCUUUCACCUGGCAAAGCAUUAUGGCGGGCAUUAGGACUCUGAAACGUGGCUAUAUUUGGCGAGUGGGAAAUGGACAAAAUAUCAAUAUCUGGGAAGAUGCCUGGAUCCCAAAUUGUGCCACCAGGAAAGUUGUGACCCCUAAGGGGGGACAAUUGUUAUCAAAAGUGGUUGACUUGAUUGACCCUGUCUCAAGUAAAUGGGAGGACCUGAUUAGACAAACUAUGUGGCCCAUUGAUGUACAACGUAUUCUUUCAAUCCCGCUUCCGCAACAUGAUAUGGCAGAUUUCAUUGCCUGCAGUAAUACAAAAAAUGGGUUGUUUUCGGUACAAUCUGCUUAUUAUGUGGAGUGGAAUUAUCAGUAUGGAAGCAAACUAACAUAUUCUAUCGGGAUGGGACGAACUACCCCUAACCCUAUAUGGUGUCAGAUAUGGAGGUUAGCUUGCCUGGCAAAAGUCAAAAAAUUUAUAUGGCGUACUUUACAUGGUACCCUCCCAUGUCGAGUAACACUUGCUAAUAGACACAUGAAGGUCUCGCCCAUAUGCCCUACUUGCUCUCAGGGUCUAGAAGACACGAAACACAUGUUGUUCCUAUGUAGUAAAUGUUGGGGAAUGUAG